RNAcentral lists this ribosomal RNA (2594 nucleotides) under Escherichia coli. RNAcentral's name for it is "partial 23S ribosomal RNA". It matches the Rfam family "Bacterial large subunit ribosomal RNA", at positions 344 to 2925 of the family's 2925-position model. The record is from RNAcentral. Lineage: Bacteria; Pseudomonadati; Pseudomonadota; Gammaproteobacteria; Enterobacterales; Enterobacteriaceae.
GGAAAGGCGCGCGAUACAGGGUGACAGCCCCGUACACAAAAAUGCACAUGCUGUGAGCUCGAUGAGUAGGGCGGGACACGUGGUAUCCUGUCUGAAUAUGGGGGGACCAUCCUCCAAGGCUAAAUACUCCUGACUGACCGAUAGUGAACCAGUACCGUGAGGGAAAGGCGAAAAGAACCCCGGCGAGGGGAGUGAAAAAGAACCUGAAACCGUGUACGUACAAGCAGUGGGAGCACAGAGCAAUCUGUGUGACUGCGUACCUUUUGUAUAAUGGGUCAGCGACUUAUAUUCUGUAGCAAGGUUAACCGAAUAGGGGAGCCGAAGGGAAACCGAGUCUUAACUGGGCGUUAAGUUGCAGGGUAUAGACCCGAAACCCGGUGAUCUAGCCAUGGGCAGGUUGAAGGUUGGGUAACACUAACUGGAGGACCGAACCGACUAAUGUUGAAAAAUUAGCGGAUGACUUGUGGCUGGGGGUGAAAGGCCAAUCAAACCGGGAGAUAGCUGGUUCUCCCCGAAAGCUAUUUAGGUAGCGCCUCGUGAAUUCAUCUCCGGGGGUAGAGCACUGUUUCGGCAAGGGGGUCAUCCCGACUUACCAACCCGAUGCAAACUGCGAAUACCGGAGAAUGUUAUCACGGGAGACACACGGCGGGUGCUAACGUCCGUCGUGAAGAGGGAAACAACCCAGACCGCCAGCUAAGGUCCCAAAGUCAUGGUUAAGUGGGAAACGAUGUGGGAAGGCCCAGACAGCCAGGAUGUUGGCUUAGAAGCAGCCAUCAUUUAAAGAAAGCGUAAUAGCUCACUGGUCGAGUCGGCCUGCGCGGAAGAUGUAACGGGGCUAAACCAUGCACCGAAGCUGCGGCAGCGACGCUGAUGCGUUGUUGGGUAGGGGAGCGUUCUGUAAGCCUGUGAAGGUGUGCUGUGAGGCAUGCUGGAGGUAUCAGAAGUGCGAAUGCUGACAUAAGUAACGAUAAAGCGGGUGAAAAGCCCGCUCGCCGGAAGACCAAGGGUUCCUGUCCAACGUUAAUCGGGGCAGGGUGAGUCGACCCCUAAGGCGAGGCCGAAAGGCGUAGUCGAUGGGAAACAGGUUAAUAUUCCUGUACUUGGUGUUACUGCGAAGGGGGGACGGAGAAGGCUAUGUUGGCCGGGCGACGGUUGUCCCGGUUUAAGCGUGUAGGCUGGUUUUCCAGGCAAAUCCGGAAAACUAAGGCUGAGGCGUGAUGACGAGGCACUACGGUGCUGAAGCAACAAAUGCCCUGCUUCCAGGAAAAGCCUCUAAGCAUCAGGUAACAUCAAAUCGUACCCCAAACCGACACAGGUGGUCAGGUAGAGAAUACCAAGGCGCUUGAGAGAACUCGGGUGAAGGAACUAGGCAAAAUGGUGCCGUAACUUCGGGAGAAGGCACGCUGAUAUGUAGGUGAAGUCCCUCGCGGAUGGAGCUGAAAUCAGUCGAAGAUACCAGCUGGCUGCAACUGUUUAUUAAAAACACAGCACUGUGCAAACACGAAAGUGGACGUAUACGGUGUGACGCCUGCCCGGUGCCGGAAGGUUAAUUGAUGGGGUCAGCGCAAGCGAAGCUCUUGAUCGAAGCCCCGGUAAACGGCGGCCGUAACUAUAACGGUCCUAAGGUAGCGAAAUUCCUUGUCGGGUAAGUUCCGACCUGCACGAAUGGCGUAAUGAUGGCCAGGCUGUCUCCACCCGAGACUCAGUGAAAUUGAACUCGCUGUGAAGAUGCAGUGUACCCGCGGCAAGACGGAAAGACCCCGUGAACCUUUACUAUAGCUUGACACUGAACAUUGAGCCUUGAUGUGUAGGAUAGGUGGGAGGCUUUGAAGUGUGGACGCCAGUCUGCAUGGAGCCGACCUUGAAAUACCACCCUUUAAUGUUUGAUGUUCUAACGUUGACCCGUAAUCCGGGUUGCGGACAGUGUCUGGUGGGUAGUUUGACUGGGGCGGUCUCCUCCUAAAGAGUAACGGAGGAGCACGAAGGUUGGCUAAUCCUGGUCGGACAUCAGGAGGUUAGUGCAAUGGCAUAAGCCAGCUUGACUGCGAGCGUGACGGCGCGAGCAGGUGCGAAAGCAGGUCAUAGUGAUCCGGUGGUUCUGAAUGGAAGGGCCAUCGCUCAACGGAUAAAAGGUACUCCGGGGAUAACAGGCUGAUACCGCCCAAGAGUUCAUAUCGACGGCGGUGUUUGGCACCUCGAUGUCGGCUCAUCACAUCCUGGGGCUGAAGUAGGUCCCAAGGGUAUGGCUGUUCGCCAUUUAAAGUGGUACGCGAGCUGGGUUUAGAACGUCGUGAGACAGUUCGGUCCCUAUCUGCCGUGGGCGCUGGAGAACUGAGGGGGGCUGCUCCUAGUACGAGAGGACCGGAGUGGACGCAUCACUGGUGUUCGGGUUGUCAUGCCAAUGGCACUGCCCGGUAGCUAAAUGCGGAAGAGAUAAGUGCUGAAAGCAUCUAAGCACGAAACUUGCCCCGAGAUGAGUUCUCCCUGACUCCUUGAGAGUCCUGAAGGAACGUUGAAGACGACGACGUUGAUAGGCCGGAUGUGUAAGCGCAGCGAUGCGUUGAGCUAACCGGUACUAAUGAACCGUGAGGCUU